Molecule: ribosomal RNA, 253 nt
Filed under: uncultured bacterium
Lineage: Bacteria
Description: partial 16S ribosomal RNA
Rfam family: Bacterial small subunit ribosomal RNA
Source: RNAcentral
GACGUAGGGCGCGAGCGUGUCCGGAUUUAUUGGGCGUAAAGAGCUCGUAGGCGGCUUGGCAAGUCGGGUGUGAAACCUCCAGCUCAACCUGGAGACGCCACCCGAUACUGCCAUGGCUAGAGUCCGGUAGGGGACCACGGAAUUCCUGGUGUAGCGGUGAAAUGCGCAGAUAUCAGGAGGAACACCGGUGGCGAAGGCGGUUCGUCUGGGCCGUACCUGACGCUGAGGAGCGAAAGCGUGGGGAGCAAACAGG